GCAGAGGGCAAGUGCUAAGG
Molecule: unclassified non-coding RNA, 20 nt
Filed under: Chlamydomonas reinhardtii
Lineage: Eukaryota; Viridiplantae; Chlorophyta; Chlorophyceae; Chlamydomonadales; Chlamydomonadaceae
Description: small RNA Cre_1668
Source: RNAcentral